This 1225-nucleotide ribosomal RNA is filed under the name Arcobacter sp. RNAcentral's name for it is "bacterial SSU rRNA". It matches the Rfam family "Bacterial small subunit ribosomal RNA", at positions 274 to 1533 of the family's 1533-position model. Lineage: Bacteria; Pseudomonadati; Campylobacterota; Epsilonproteobacteria; Campylobacterales; Arcobacteraceae. The record is from RNAcentral.
CUAUGACACAUAACUGGUUUGAGAGGAUGAUCAGUCACACUGGAACUGGAGACACGGUCCAGACUCCUACGGAGGCAGCAGUGGGGAAUAUUGCACAAUGGACGAAAGUCUGAUGCAGCAACGCCGCGUGGAGGAUGACACAUUUCGGUGCGUAAACCUUUUAUAGAGAAGAUAAUGACGGUAUAUAUGAAUAAGCACCGGCUAACUCCGUGCCAGCAGCCGCGGUAAUACGGGGGUGCAAGCGUUACUCGGAAUCACUGGGCGUAAAGAGCAUGUAGGCGGAUUGAUAAGUUUGAAGUGAAACCUAUAAGCUUAACCUAUAGAACUGCUUUGAAAACUGUUAAUCUAGAAUGUGGGAGAGGUAGAUGGAAUUUCUGGUGUAGGGUAAAAAUCCGUAGAGAUCAGAAGGAAUACCGAUUGCGAAGGCGAUCUACUGGAACAUUAUUGACGCUGAGAUGCGAAAGCGUGGGGAGCAAACAGGAUUAGAUACCCUGGUAGUCCACGCCUAAACGAUGUACACUAGUUGUUGUGAGACUUGAUCUUGCAGUAAUGCAGCUAACACAUUAAGUGUACCGCCUGGGGAGCACGGUCGCAAGAUUAAAACUCAAAGGAAUAGACGGGGACCCGCACAAGCGGUGGAGCAUGUGGUUUAAUUCGACGAUACACGAAGAACCUUACCUGGACUUGACAUAGUAAGAACACUUAGAGAUAGAUUGGUGUCUGCUUGCAGAAACUUAUAUACAGGUGCUGCACGGCUGUCGUCAGCUCGUGUCGUGAGAUGUUGGGUUAAGUCCCGCAACGAGCGCAACCCUCGUGUUUGAGUUGCUAACAGUUCGGCUGAGAACUCUAAACAGACUGCCUACGCAAGCAGAGGAAGGUGAGGACGACGUCAAGUCAUCAUGCCUUACGUCCAGGGCUACACGUGCUACAAUGGGAUAUACAAAGAGCCGCAAUACGGUGACGUGGAGCAAAUCUUAUAAAAUAUCUCAGUUCGGAUUGUAGUCUGCAACUCGACUACAUGAAGUUGGAAUCGCUAGUAAUCGUAGAUCAGCUAUGCUACGGUGAAUACGUUCCCGGGUCUUGUACUCACCGCCCGUCACACCAUGGGAGUCGAACUCAUUCGAAGCGGGGAUGCUAAAAUAGCUACCUUCCACAUGGAUUUGGCGACUGGGGUGAAGUCGUAACAAGGUAACCUAGGAGAACCUGCGGUUGGAUCACAUCCUUU